Molecule: ribosomal RNA, 445 nt
Filed under: uncultured bacterium
Lineage: Bacteria
Description: partial 16S ribosomal RNA
Rfam family: Bacterial small subunit ribosomal RNA
Source: RNAcentral
GUGAGGAAUAUUGGACAAUGGGCGCAAGCCUGAUCCAGCCAUACCGCGUGCAGGAAGACGCAUCUAUGGUGUGUAAACUGCUUUUGUACGGGAAGAAACACUCCCUCGUGAGGGAGCUUGACGGUACCGUAAGAAUAAGGAUCGGCUAACUCCGUGCCAGCAGCCGCGGUAAUACGGAGGAUCCAAGCGUUAUCCGGAAUCAUUGGGUUUAAAGGGUCCGUAGGCGGUUUAAUAAGUCAGUGGUGAAAGCCCAUCGCUCAACGAUGGAACGGCCAUUGAUACUGUUAGACUUGAAUUACAAGGAAGUAACUAGAAUAUGUAGUGUAGCGGUGAAAUGCUUAGAUAUUACAUGGAAUACCAAUUGCGAAGGCAGGUUACUACUUGUGGAUUGACGCUGAUGGACGAAAGCGUGGGGAGCGAACAGGAUUAGAAACCCGAGUAGUCC